RNAcentral lists this ribosomal RNA (301 nucleotides) under uncultured bacterium. RNAcentral describes it as "partial 16S ribosomal RNA". It matches the Rfam family "Bacterial small subunit ribosomal RNA", at positions 509 to 807 of the family's 1533-position model. The record is from RNAcentral.
CAGCCGCCGCGGUAAUACGAAGGGGGCUAGCGUUGCUCGGAAUUACUGGGCGUAAAGGGAGCGUAGGCGGAUCGUUAAGUUGGGGGUGAAAGCCCGGGGCUCAACCUCGGAACUGCCAUCAAUACUGGCGAUCUUGAGUAUGAGAGAGGUGUGUGGAACUCCGAGUGUAGAGGUGAAAUUCGUAGAUAUUCGGAAGAACACCAGUGGCGAAGGCGACACACUGGCUCAUUACUGACGCUGAGGCUCGAAAGCGUGGGGAGCAAACAGGAUUAGAUACCCGGGUAGUCCCUGUCUCUUAUAC